Molecule: unclassified non-coding RNA, 334 nt
Filed under: Hevea brasiliensis (rubber tree)
Lineage: Eukaryota; Viridiplantae; Streptophyta; Magnoliopsida; Malpighiales; Euphorbiaceae
Source: RNAcentral
GCAGAAUCGAUGUGGGAUGCAUCAGUUAUGGUACUCUUGUAUUUUGAUGGCAGAGUAUGAGAACUUGUAGUAAAAUGUGCUUGGUUCCCUGCCUUCUAAUUGAAUGAAAGUAUAUUCGAGUAUGAGCAUAUAGCAACGUGUCAUUAUUAAAUCCAUAGUGUCUGGACACUUAGGGCAUGGUUGAGAAAUUGGAAUGCCACAUUGAUGCUUUUGGGGCUUUUUCUCCAAAAUGAAAAACCUUUUACAUUACUUGCCUGCCAUCACCUCCACUCUGGGAUUUUUUCAGUAUGAUUAGUUAAAAAACGUUGAGUUGGAUUCAAAUGAUAUAAACGUU